UCCAGACUCCUACGGGAGGCAGCAGUGGGGAAUAUUGCACAAUGGGGGAAACCCUGAUGCAGCGACGCCGCGUGGGCGAGGAAGUAUUUCGGUAUGUAAAGCCCUAUCGGCAGGGAAGAAGAAAUGACGGUACCUGUAUAAGAAGCACCGGCUAACUACGUGCCAGCAGCCGCGGGAAUACGUAGGGGGCAAGCGUUAUCCGGAUUUACUGGGUGUAAGGGGAGCGUAGACGGUCCUGCAAGCCAGAUGUGAAAGCCCGGGGCUCAACCCCGGGACUGCAUUUGGAACUGUAAGGUUAGAGUGUCGGAGAGGCAGGCGGAAUUCCUAGUGUAGCGGUGAAAUGCGUAGAUAUUAGGAGGAACACCAGUGGCGAAGGCGGCCUGCUGGACGAUGACUGACGUUGAGGCUCGAAAGCGUGGGGAGCAAACAGGAUUAGAUACCCCUGUA
This 447-nucleotide ribosomal RNA is filed under the name uncultured bacterium. RNAcentral describes it as "bacterial SSU rRNA". It matches the Rfam family "Bacterial small subunit ribosomal RNA", at positions 330 to 792 of the family's 1533-position model. The record is from RNAcentral.